AUGUACAAAAGAACUCUCCAGUUGAAGACCAUGACCUACCAAGGAUCCAGUGCUGUGAAAUCAAGUGGAAGAAAUGGAUUUAGAGUGAAAGAAAAAAAAAAAAAAGGGCAAGACAACAGAGAUCACUUUUCUGUACUGCUGUGUAUUCUUUUUCCUCUCUGCAAGAAUCUGGCUUCAGCCCAUCAUAGCUGGCAGUGAUACACAAGAUGAGUUGACAGAGAAGGCAGAAGGCACAACAGAUGAAAGAGGCUGCAAGAAAGAGGAGAAAUUCCACAAUUCGGUCCGAAGAAACAAAGAUUUUAUUUGGUCUCAUGGCUGUUCCUUUUGUUGUCAGCUGGAUUUUGCCAGGGAUUUUGGUGAAUUGAAAAUACCUUGUGCUGUAUUUUUUGUUCCUGACAGAUACAGGGAUAAUGGGCUAUAGUUUGUUUAGAAAACCUUAACCCUGAGUCUGUAGGGAGACCCUCAUGGUCAGGAACGUCUUUCUGUUCAGGUUGGAUUAGGAGACAUCUUGUUAGCUUUUAAUGCUGCAAUUUGUAAGCAUAGACACUUUGGUUCUGCACUCAUUUUUAACCAAUUGCCAGAUUUAGCCAACACAUGGUUCCAAUUUUACCCCACCUCAAAUUCUUAUGAUGUAAAUUUUCAUGGAAAAGUGUCGCUUUGAAAACCAAAAAGCUCUAUCAAGCAACUUAACAUUUCAUCAGCAAAUAUAUUUGCAACCAUUAUCAGCAGCUUGCUCUUGGCAAUACCCCAAUGCACUCUCCUAGACAGUGGAUUUCUGCCUCCUGUUAGCUGCUAAAGCUGUAAUAUUUUCCUUGAAAUUUACUUGCAAGACUCUUAUCCCCAAGUCCCUAGUAUCUCCUACUUUCUUUGAACUGCUUAGGCCAUUUCCAGCCACUGAAAAAGAGCCAGUCCUUUAGAGCAGAUGACUGAAGUCUUGGAAAGGGAGAAGAGAG
Long non-coding RNA from Cygnus olor (mute swan), 953 nucleotides. RefSeq lists it as uncharacterized. NCBI's taxonomy places the organism in Eukaryota, Metazoa, Chordata, Aves, Anseriformes, Anatidae. The record is from RefSeq and is a predicted model, not a curated record. The transcript is spliced from 3 exons.